CAAGCAUUGAGGUCCUAUUUUUAUUCACAAAUAACAAAAGAAACAGAUUUAGAAACAACAAAACCAUGCUAUUUGAAAAAGUCACCAACCAACAACAACUAUACUCACACAACAGCUACUAGUUUUUGUUUAAAUAGAAAAGCAUUGGAAUUUAGCAGUGAGGUGAACAGACAGUAUUGAAUGAUUUGAAAUAUGGCCUGCAAAUAAUGUAAUAAUUUAACUCAAGCCAUCAAAAAACCUGAUAAGAUACCUGGGACUCUCAAAUACUACUUCAGUAGUUGAUAAGAGUUGUUAAUAAAAUCAGUAACAAAUGAAACUAAAAAUUUUACUACUCUCAACACACUAAAGGAUUAAUCACAAAAUUCAAAGGCUUGAGUGUAACACAAGCACUAAAUAAAACUAUCUUCACAAUCACUUAAGAGGAUUAAGAGAUUGAAGUGAAGAACGGGGCAAACAAUUUCAUAAGGAAGUUCAUGAUAAAAUGAGGAUUGUUUUGGGAUGAGGCUUAUUGAAACAAAUAAUUAUGUAAUAUUUUUCAACUCCCAGUUAAUGAUCUUUGUUAAUUUUAUUAUUCUACUGUUUUGACCUCCCUUUGUCUCACAGACCACCAGACUCACAAACAAAUUUUUAAGCAAGAAUAUGGGUCAGUGGGUCAUCUUAGGGGCGAAGUAAUAUGUUGCAAGUACCCAAGAUGGCUGUAUAAAGGAAAACCUAAUAUCUGCAACCACUUCCAUCCCAUCAGUCUCAAUAAGCAACGCAGGAUAUUAAAGACUUCACAACCGCAAGCACUGUGAAAGCUAAAAUUUCAAAUUGAGUAACCGCCAUCAGGCUUUGGCUGGCAUAGAACAAGCAUUUGGUAAAAGGUGCUCUUAACCCAUGCUGUUUCGAACGCACAAGAUAAAAGUUCUUGAUUUUGUUGCACAAAUUUUAUUCAACCACCAAGUAAUGCGAAAAAGUUUUGCAUAAAAUACAUACACCAGUUAAGCACAUGCAAGCAUAGUUCCAGACCAAUACUUUUGAGAUUUUUCAUCACCGAAUAUCGCCAUCUUGUUUGGAAUGCCUCAAAGGUUUUAUGGUAUUACGACUCGUCGCAAAUUUAGAAUGGAUCCACAAGCUCAUUAUACAACUUGAAAUAUUUCCGUCGAACGACGAUGAGUGUUCAACCGGCAGACUCGACUUCCCUUGCGGCGCGGCGCCAUCAACUUCCGAACCCGCCAUCCAUCAACAUAAUCCCAAAGAAAGUUUUAGCGUCGUCACUUAUUUUUUAUAAUUUGAUGUUUCUUUUGACACCAGCUCUUUUUCUUGCUGUUUUUAACCUCUUUUUUUGAUUUCUUGACUGCUAUUGCAUUUUUGGGCAACUUUUUAUCGACUUUCCACGCUUCAUACAUUUAUUUUUUAACAUGUUCAUUUUAUUACCUACUUCAUAUUUUUUUUGCUGUUCUUUACAACAAUUUCAAAUUUGUGCCAGUGUCGUGUAGUGAUUGUAAAAAGGUAUGUAAUAGAACCUACUUUGUUAAAAACUGUUUUUUGAAUUUCCAUUCCAUAUUAACUGUCAGAUGUCUAGAUGACAUUGAUGUUAUGUCACCUUUGGAUUAACGGUUUCGCUUGAUAGCAGUAUCGGAAAGGUUGUUUUUAAGCUAUUAAUUUUAAAAUAAUAAUCAAUAAUCGUCAUUUCAUCUCAAUUAAACAUAUUUUCGCCUUGUUCUAUGUUAUCAACUAUAACGGAUACAGUACCAUCGCACGCCUGUUAAGGAGCGACCUCAUGCAGCCGCUCGUUUCCAGUGAUAAAUCAGGGUAGCUUCAAACCCGAUGACAAUGCAAUUUACAACUAUAAGAACGUCUGGGCUAAUUUUGAGAUCUGAUAGCAGGUGGUGUUGUCGGCCACGUAGACCCAGGUCCGCAGGUCCCCGGCUGCGCGCGG
Long non-coding RNA from Trichoplusia ni (cabbage looper), 1921 nucleotides. RefSeq lists it as uncharacterized. NCBI's taxonomy places the organism in Eukaryota, Metazoa, Arthropoda, Insecta, Lepidoptera, Noctuidae. The record is from RefSeq and is a predicted model, not a curated record. The transcript is spliced from 3 exons.